Molecule: unclassified non-coding RNA, 334 nt
Filed under: uncultured fungus
Lineage: Eukaryota; Fungi
Description: partial contains 5.8S ribosomal RNA and internal transcribed spacer 2
Rfam family: 5.8S ribosomal RNA (bases 1-133)
Source: RNAcentral
UGGUUCCGGCAUCGAUGAAGAACGCAGCGAAAUGCGAUAACUAAUGUGAAUUGCAGAAUUCAGUGAAUCAUCGAGUCUUUGAACGCACAUUGCGCCCCCUGGUAUUCCGGGGGGCAUGCCUGUCCGAGCGUCAUUGCUGCCCUCAAGCACGGCUUGUUGUUGGGCCCCGUCCCCCUCUCCGGGGGACGGGCCCGAAAGGCAGCGGCGGCACCGAGUCCGGUCCUCGAGCGUAUGGGGCUUUGUCACCCGCUCCGUAGGCCCGGCCGGCGCCAGCCGACCACCAAAUCAUCCUUUUUUUCAGGUUGACCUCGGAUCAGGUAGGGAUACCCGCUGA